This 652-nucleotide long non-coding RNA is filed under the name Hordeum vulgare. RNAcentral describes it as "long non-coding RNA (HVUL_LNC006499)". The record is from RNAcentral. Lineage: Eukaryota; Viridiplantae; Streptophyta; Magnoliopsida; Poales; Poaceae.
GACGCCUUGUCCUGACCGGACGCCGAGUGCACGAUAGCGAAGGAUGUACGUGCAAGGUCCAUGCAUAGGCACAUGUGAGACGCGUACGUCCACAACGGCGACGAUACACGAGGGCACUGUCACGUCAUGUAAUGGAUUUGGCGACGAGGGACGCCGCCUUCAGCUCGACCAUCUCGAGGAGCCACCGACAACGAAGAGCGAGCACGUGCAGGAGUUAGCGGAGUUGGGCUUCGCGAUGGGUGUAAUGGAGUAAAAGCCAGAAGUGUGGUGGCGAGUUCUGUGUUGUCCUUCCCGGCGCCAGCUCGACGACAUCGACGGUGGGCGGCGUCAUGGCGUGCUCCAUGUCGUCGUCUUCCGCGGCUCCGGCUUGACGACCUCGACGGUGGGCAGCGUCGUGGCGUGCUCCAUGUCGUCGUCUUCCGCGGCUCCGGCUUGACGACGUCGACGGUGGGCGGCGUCGUGGCAUGCUCCAUGUCGUCAUCUUCCGCGGUUCCGGCUUGACGACAUCGACGGUGGGCGGCGUCGUGGCGUGCUCCAUGUCGUCGUCUUCCGUGACUCCGGCUUGACGACAUCGACGGUGGGUGGCGUCGUGGCAUACUCCAUGUCGUCGUCUUCCGCGGAUCCAGCUUGACGACAUCGACGGUGGGUGGCG